This 2001-nucleotide unclassified non-coding RNA is filed under the name Zea mays. Its description in RNAcentral is "misc RNA Zm00001eb273710". Lineage: Eukaryota; Viridiplantae; Streptophyta; Magnoliopsida; Poales; Poaceae. The record is from RNAcentral.
CACUUCCUCCCAUUCUUAUCUGUUGUACAUCCUUCUCAUCAUGUGGAGGUCGCUCGUUCCACGGAGCUGGAAAAAUCCUGUCUUCUCCCGUACGCAGUACGCUUCUUCUUCAGCCAAUCCCAACGUUCUCUCUCCUUGGAUAUUUCCGGGCGCGUGCGCAUCUCCUGGCAGCAUGCUCUGUACUUGGAGAAAAAUCACGCCGUGGUUAUCUGCAGCCGCCGCACAUGGAGAAGAAAAUCCAGCCGCCGAGAUUUUUGCCGCCGCCGUCGCCCAGCUCGGAUGGAGUCCACCAGCAGCCGCUCAAGCUCUCGUUCUUAUCUCUGCCGCCCUCCCCUGGGAUUUUUUUUGGACGCCGCCGCCCCUGGAUCCUUUAAAUGCACGCGCCGGUCCCUCUUCCCCUCUGCCGGUGGCCAUGGCAGCCGUCUGGCCGGGCUCAACCCCUGCCCAUCUUCCUGGUCGCGACCGCCCAGCUCCCUGCUCGGCGCCCCAAGCUCCCCUGUGCGCGCUCAGCUUGAAGCCUGUCCUCGGCGCCCAGCUUUCCCCAAGUCCGGCCAUCGCCUCACUGGUCGCGCGUCCGAAAUCCCUGCCGAGCAACUCACUUCAGCCCCCAGCUCGGAUCCGCUGCGAGCUCGGUCCGGCCCUUUGCUGCAGCUCACUCUUUCUUUGUUUGCCGCGCGCAGCGUGUCGAGCUCCCGCAUCGCCGGCUUGUUGUCCAUAAAAUUCGCCCAGCCACGGCCUCGACAAACUGCGAAACUCCCUCGCCGUGGGCUCUGGCAUCGGCUACCGCCGAUUCUGCCAUUAAGUUCGCGACCACACCUUGUUCUGUUCGUCUCGCUGUUGGUGAUUUCUCUACGCUUCAAAUCCGUGCUGCUCGCCCCGCAUGCGCUCACUCCUCAUCCAUCGGGUUCUGGCGAGUUCGUGUUUUACGUCGACUCGUCAAACCCGUCAUCCUCUGCUCAACCCCACUUCGUCAGUUCGCUCCAGACAUAAUCCCGUCGCCGUUCUGUGCGUCGGGUGAAGACGAAGCUAGCCGAGUAAUAUUCACCGAGUGCACGACAGAAAGCUCGAACCAGUCGUCAAUCGCCUCGACAACAACCAUAUCCACGACUCCCGCCGUUCCAAUAAUUUUGCCGCAUCGCCCUUCAAAUCCGAGACCUCGUCCGUAGGAUCGUCGUUGACCUCGCAACUUCAACUCGAGUUAAUUAUGGACGAUAAAUAAUCGUGUGAUGCGGAAGACGACCCAAGUCGACUCCAAGCGCGGGCUAAUCCGCAGGAUGAAGCUGAUGAACUACUCUGAAGAUGGAUGGACGAAACAAGAUCAGAACAAGAGAUGAUCACCAAGUGGUCGACACCUAACAACACUAACCUAGUGUUACUCAGGCAAGCCCCGGUGCAUUUGCCACCUUCCUUGAUGUUUUAAAAUCUUUCUCACUUGCUUGCUGCAUUAGGUGAUAGGAGUUGAUUGAUAAAACAAUUCCUGCAUUACCUUCCUUGAAUUUGAUUACCUUCCUUGAUCACCCGUUUUACAAAAGAUUUUGAUGCUUAGCCUUGCUUUAGAAAAACAAAAUGUUUUGUUUUUACAAAAGAUGAUGUGGCAAAAGUGGGUGGGAUGUUUUCGAAAAUAAAACUUGAUGGUGAAUCCAUCACGGUCGUGAUGGAUUCAACAUCGGAAAAGAUGUACCUCUGCCAGGUACCAAACUUUGGGUUUGAAAUGAUUAAGCUGAGACCGGGCGGGUGACUUGCACGAGAAAGGAGUCUCGGUGUAGUGUCUCCGUCUGAGUCGAUUAAGGACCUUGUCGAUGUAGGCCUGCUGACCGAGGACCCUUUAACUGGUCACAUGCCUCGUCAUGGGUAAGCCUUGCCUCGGGCAGACUAAGGCCAGAAUAAGAUAACACGAAAUGGGCGUGGAGCAGUGGCGAGAGUAGUGUGUACCCUCCGUGGCAAGAGGCUGGACGGUGGUGUAUCUGUGCUCUCGGUUUGCGUGAACCUGAUCUGGUCUUA